GUGGGUGUGUGGAUGCCAAGAGCUGC
This 26-nucleotide unclassified non-coding RNA is filed under the name Mus musculus (house mouse). RNAcentral's name for it is "oocyte_clustered_small_RNA13398". Lineage: Eukaryota; Metazoa; Chordata; Mammalia; Rodentia; Muridae. The record is from RNAcentral.